Callorhinus ursinus (northern fur seal) is the source of this 988-nucleotide non-coding RNA. The record is from RefSeq and is a predicted model, not a curated record. NCBI's taxonomy places the organism in Eukaryota, Metazoa, Chordata, Mammalia, Carnivora, Otariidae.
ACCUGAGCUGAAGGCAGACGCUUAACGACUGAGCCACCCAGGCGCCCCAACAUUUCUGUUUUCUUAAGAAACCCCCGGUAGAGCUCCCACGGCCUCAUGGUCACUCAGUGAGAACUGUCUCCGUGCGUCCCUCGAUUCCUUAGGAAGGUAUAAAGGGCACUUUCAGAAGCUGCAUGAGCAUGUCACCUGUGAUGACUCGUGUAUUGACCAAGACGGGCUUGUAGCAGUAAAGAGAAUUCGCUAACCGUCAAUGGUGAUGAUACCCACUGUGUAUGAUCGUGUACCUGACACAGUGUUUUAACAGGCCAUGGAAGUAGUCUGAGUUCAAGUCCCAACUCUGCAAUUACUUGUCAUUAAGUAGGCUCUGAGCCGUAUUUCCUCACCUAUAAAACGGGAACACCACCUGGUUGUCUCGCCUCCCGAGGUCUCACUUAUCCGCCGUCAACCACCAUGAAGAAGCAGACGAUCGUCCUUCUGAUGGAUCAUCGUCAGGUCAACAGUAACCUAAGGCUACGUCACAUGCCUACAUCACUCACCUCCCUCCAUCUCAUCACCCAGACGUGUUACCAUCUCACAUCAUCACUGGAACAAGAAGGGUUUCAUAAAGAGAAAAUUAUUGUUCCACUGCCUGUGGUGAGGAGACCAAGAAGAACAAGAUAGAAGAGGAACAGACUGAAUUUAGAGGAACCCUGUGAUCAUCUGGAAAUAAAAGAAAGCAGUCCGAUGAGGUCUACAAUGAUUGUGGUGAUUGCUGCUGAUUCAAAUCUUGCCAAAGGAGUAUGAGGAAUAGCUUCUCUUCUUGGUUUGCUAUAAACCUGGUUUCUAGACACUCACAGUGUGAAUAUUUUAUAGGCCUUAAAAUCCAACAGUAUGAAUUAUUCAGAGAUGUAAGUACUUCUGGAAAAGACGUUUUAUAUACUUUAUCUCAGGGAAGGCUUAUUUGCCUUCUGACCUAUAAAUCACAUAUAACAAGAAUAAAAUGUAGUAA